Molecule: ribosomal RNA, 447 nt
Filed under: uncultured bacterium
Lineage: Bacteria
Description: bacterial SSU rRNA
Rfam family: Bacterial small subunit ribosomal RNA
Source: RNAcentral
UCGGGAAUUUUGGGCAAUGGGCGAAAGCCUGAUCCAGCCAUGCCGCGUGAGUGACGAAGGCCUUAGGGUUGUAAAACUCUUUCGUCGGGGACGAUAAUGACGGUACCCGAAGAAGAAGCUCCGGCUAACUUCGUGCCAGCAGCCGCGGUAAUACGAAGGGAGCUAGCGUUGUUCGGAAUCACUGGGCGUAAAGCGCACGUAGGCGGAUAGUUAAGUCAGAGGUGAAAUCCCGGAGCUCAACUUCGGAACUGCCUUUGAUACUGGCAAUCUAGAGUCCGGAAGAGGUUAGUGGAAUUCCCAGUGUAGAGGUGAAAUUCGUAGAUAUUGGGAAGAACACCAGUGGCGAAGGCGGCUAACUGGUCCGGUACUGACGCUGAGGUGCGAAAGCGUGGGGAGCAAACGGGAUUAGAUACCCAAGUAGUCCCUGAGCGGGCUGGCAAGGCGCAU